RNAcentral lists this ribosomal RNA (852 nucleotides) under Pseudomonas sp. BR1-4-15. RNAcentral describes it as "bacterial SSU rRNA". It matches the Rfam family "Bacterial small subunit ribosomal RNA", at positions 68 to 873 of the family's 1533-position model. The record is from RNAcentral. Lineage: Bacteria; Pseudomonadati; Pseudomonadota; Gammaproteobacteria; Pseudomonadales; Pseudomonadaceae.
GAAAGAUUCUUUUGUAUCGGUUAAUAACGUGGGCCGCAAAAAAUGAUUUGGGGAAAAAAGGUGUUUUUUGAAGCGGGGACGGGUAGUAACCCAGAAUUGGCCUGGAGGGGGAAUACGUUGGAAAAGGAGGNAAUACCGAAAACGUCCGACGGGAGUAAGCAGGGACCUUNGGCCCUGGGGGUAUCAAAUGAGCCUAGGUUGGAUUAGNUAGUUGGUGGGGUANGGCUCACCAAGGGGACGAUCNGUUACGGGUNUGAGAGGAUGAUCAGUCACACGGAANUGAGACCACGGUCCAACUCCUACGGGAGGCAGCAGUGGGGGAAUAUUGGACAAUGGGCGAAAGCCUGAUCCAGCCAUGCCGCGUGUGUGAAGAAGGUCUUCGGAUUGUAAAGCACUUUAAGUUGGGAGGAAGGGUUGUAGAUUAAUACUCUGCAAUUUUGACGUUACCGACAGAAUAAGCACCGGCUAACUCUGUGCCAGCAGCCGCGGUAAUACAGAGGGUGCAAGAAAAAUAAUCGGAAUUACUGGGCGUAAAGCGCGCGUAGGUGGUUUGUUAAGUUGGAUGUGAAAUCCCCGGGCUCAACCUGGGAACUGCAUUCAAAACUGACUGACUAGAGUAUGGUAGAGGGUGGUGGAAUUUCCUGUGUAGCGGUGAAAUGCGUAGAUAUAGGAAGGAACACCAGUGGCGAAGGCGACCACCUGGACUAAUACUGACACUGAGGUGCGAAAGCGUGGGGAGCAAACAGGAUAGAAACCUGGUAAGUACCAGCCGUCAAACGUAGUCAAUNGCCGUGGNUUGCCUGGUUUCUNUGAGGGGCGUCCAAACUAAUGAAGUCGUCAGGGUCNUUGGCC